RNAcentral lists this ribosomal RNA (440 nucleotides) under uncultured bacterium. Its description in RNAcentral is "partial 16S ribosomal RNA". It matches the Rfam family "Bacterial small subunit ribosomal RNA", at positions 338 to 795 of the family's 1533-position model. The record is from RNAcentral.
CCUACGGGAGGCAGCAGUGGGGAAUAUUGCACAAUGGGGGAAACCCUGAUGCAGCGACGCCGCGUGAAGGAAGAAGUAUUUCGGUAUGUAAACUUCUAUCAGCAGGGAAGAAAAUGACGGUACCUGACUAAAAAGCCCCGGCUAACUACGUGCCAGCAGCCGCGGUAAUACGUAGGGGGCAAGCGUUAUCCGGAUUUACUGGGUGUAAAGGGAGCGUAGGCGGUUUAGCAAGUCAGAAGUGAAAGCCCGGGGCUCAACUCCGGGACUGCGUUUGAAAAUGUUGAACUAGAGUGCAGGAGAGGUAAGUGGAAUUCCUAGGGUAGCGGUGAAAUGCGUAGAUAUUAGGAGGAACACCAGUGGCGAAGGCGGCUUACUGGACUGUAAAUGACGCUGAGGCUCGAAAGCGUGGGGAGCAAACAGGAUUAGAUACCCCUGUAGUC